CUUUAUUCUGGCUCAGGAUGAACGCUAGCUACAGGCUUAACACCUGCAAGUCGAGGGGCAGCGGGAUUGAAGCUUGCUUCAAUUGCCGGCGACCGGCGCACGGGUGAGUAACGCGUAUCCCACCUUCCGUACACUCAGGGAUAGCCUUUCGAAAGAAAGAUUAAUACCUGAUGGUAUGAUGAGAUUGCAUGAUAGCAUCAUUAAAGAUUUAUCGGUGUACGAUGGGGAUGCGUUCCAUUAGGUAGUAGGCGGGGUAACGGCCCACCUAGCCAACGAUGGAUAGGGGUUCUGAGAGGAAGGUCCCCCACAUUGGAACUGAGACACGGUCCAAACUCCUACGGGAGGCAGCAGUGAGGAAUAUUGGUCAAUGGACGAGAGUCUGAACCAGCCAAGUAGCGUGAAGGAUGAAGGUCCUACGGAUUGUAAACUUCUUUUAUAAGGGAAUAAACCCUCCCACGUGUGGGAGCUUGUAUGUACCUUAUGAAUAAGCAUCGGCUAACUCCGUGCCAGCAGCCGCGGUAAUACGGAGGAUGCGAGCGUUAUCCGGAUUUAUUGGGUUUAAAGGGAGCGCAGACGGGUCGUUAAGUCAGCUGUGAAAGUUUGGGGCUCAACCUUAAAAUUGCAGUUGAUACUGGCGUCCUUGAGUGCGGUUGAGGUGUGCGGAAUUCGUGGUGUAGCGGUGAAAUGCUUAGAUAUCACGAAGAACUCCGAUUGCGAAGGCAGCACACUAAUCCGUAACUGACGUUCAUGCUCGAAAGUGUGGGUAUCAAACAGGAUUAGAUACCCUGGUAGUCCACACGGUAAACGAUGGAUACUCGCUGUUGGCGAUAUACUGUCAGCGGCUUAGCGAAAGCGUUAAGUAUCCCACCUGGGGAGUACGCCGGCAACGGUGCAACUCAAAGGAAUUGACGGA
RNAcentral lists this ribosomal RNA (913 nucleotides) under uncultured bacterium. RNAcentral describes it as "bacterial SSU rRNA". It matches the Rfam family "Bacterial small subunit ribosomal RNA", at positions 12 to 917 of the family's 1533-position model. The record is from RNAcentral. RNAcentral also lists the same sequence under 1 other name.